This 438-nucleotide ribosomal RNA is filed under the name uncultured bacterium. RNAcentral describes it as "partial 16S ribosomal RNA". It matches the Rfam family "Bacterial small subunit ribosomal RNA", at positions 30 to 507 of the family's 1533-position model. The record is from RNAcentral.
AGCGAACGCUGGCGGCAUGCUUAACACAUGCAAGUCGCACGGGCAGCAAUGUCAGUGGCGGACGGGUGGGUAACGCGUCGGAACGUGUCCUGAGGUGGGGGACAACCCCGGGAUACUGGGGCUAAUACCGCAUAUGGGCUGAGGCCCAAAGCCGAGAGGGGCCUGUGGAGCGGCCUGCGUCCGAUUCGGUAGUUGGUGGGGUAGGGGCCUACCAAGCCUGCGAUCGGUAGCUGGUCUGGGAGGACGACCGGCCACACUGGGACUGAGAUACGGCCCAGACCCCGACGGGAGGGGGAGGCGGGGAAGGGGAAAAAAGGGGAGGGGGCCAAAGGCAGCACCGGCGAGUGCGGGAUGAUGGAGAUGGGUUUGUAAACCGAAAUCCCUUUUGACGGGGCGUGAGUGACGGUAACCGGUAAAGAAGCCCCGGCUAACUUCGUG